CAGUCGCCACGGUAAUACGGAGGGUGCAAGCGUUAAUCGGAAUUACUGCGCGUAAAGCGUGCGUAGGCGGUUCGUUAAGUCUGUUGUGAAAGCCCCGGGCUCAACCUGGGAAUGGCAAUGGAUACUGGCGAGCUAGAGUGUGUCAGAGGAUGGUGGAAUUCCCGGUGUAGCGGUGAAAUGCGUAGAGAUCGGGAGGAACAUCAGUGGCGAAGGCGGCCAUCUGGGACAACACUGACGCUGAGGCACGAAAGCGUGGGGAGCAAACAGGAUUAGAUACCCCGGUAGUCCCUGUCUCUUAUAC
This 301-nucleotide ribosomal RNA is filed under the name uncultured bacterium. Its description in RNAcentral is "partial 16S ribosomal RNA". It matches the Rfam family "Bacterial small subunit ribosomal RNA", at positions 509 to 807 of the family's 1533-position model. The record is from RNAcentral.